RNAcentral lists this ribosomal RNA (468 nucleotides) under uncultured bacterium. RNAcentral describes it as "partial 16S ribosomal RNA". It matches the Rfam family "Bacterial small subunit ribosomal RNA", at positions 28 to 507 of the family's 1533-position model. The record is from RNAcentral.
GACGAACGCUGGCGGCGUGCUUAACACAUGCAAGUCGAACGGAAAGGCCCUGCUUUUGUGGGGUGCUCGAGUGGCGAACGGGUGAGUAACACGUGAGUAACCUGCCCUUGACUUUGGGAUAACUUCAGGAAACUGGGGCUAAUACCGGAUAGGAGCUCCUGCUGCAUGGUGGGGGUUGGAAAGUUUCGGCGGUUGGGGAUGGACUCGCGGCUUAUCAGCUUGUUGGUGGGGUAGUGGCUUACCAAGGCUGUGACGGGUAGCCGGCCGGAGAGGGUGACCGGCCACAUUGGGACUGAGAUACGGCCCAGACUCCUACGGGAGGCAGCAGUGGGGAAUAUUGCACAAUGGGAGGACGCCUGAUGCAGCAACGCCGCGUGCGGGAUGACGGCCUUCGGGUUGUAAACCGCUUUCGCCUGUGACGAAGCGUGAGUGACGGUAAUGGGUAAAGAAGCACCGGCUAACUACGUG